Molecule: ribosomal RNA, 1389 nt
Filed under: uncultured bacterium
Lineage: Bacteria
Description: 16S ribosomal RNA
Rfam family: Bacterial small subunit ribosomal RNA
Source: RNAcentral
GAGUUUGAUCAUGGCUCAGGACGAACGCUGGCGGCGUGCCUAAUACAUGCAAGUAGAACGCUGAAGAGAGGAGCUUGCUCUUCUUGGAUGAGUUGCGAACGGGUGAGUAACGCGUAGGUAACCUGCCUUGUAGCGGGGGAUAACUAUUGGAAACGAUAGCUAAUACCGCAUAACAAUAGGUGACACAUGUCAUUUAUUUGAAAGGGGCAAUUGCUCCACUACAAGAUGGACCUGCGUUGUAUUAGCUAGUAGGUGAGGUAACGGCUCACCUAGGCGACGAUACAUAGCCGACCUGAGAGGGUGAUCGGCCACACUGGGACUGAGACACGGCCCAGACUCCUACGGGAGGCAGCAGUAGGGAAUCUUCGGCAAUGGGGGCAACCCUGACCGAGCAACGCCGCGUGAGUGAAGAAGGUUUUCGGAUCGUAAAGCUCUGUUGUAAGUCAAGAACGAGUGUGAGAGUGGAAAGUUCACACUGUGACGGUAGCUUACCAGAAAGGGACGGCUAACUACGUGCCAGCAGCCGCGGUAAUACGUAGGUCCCGAGCGUUGUCCGGAUUUAUUGGGCGUAAAGCGAGCGCAGGCGGUUUGAUAAGUCUGAAGUUAAAGGCUGUGGCUCAACCAUAGUUCGCUUUGGAAACUGUCAAACUUGAGUGCAGAAGGGGAGAGUGGAAUUCCAUGUGUAGCGGUGAAAUGCGUAGAUAUAUGGAGGAACACCGGUGGCGAAAGCGGCUCUCUGGUCUGUAACUGACGCUGAGGCUCGAAAGCGUGGGGAGCGAACAGGAUUAGAUACCCUGGUAGUCCACGCCGUAAACGAUGAGUGCUAGGUGUUGGAUCCUUUCCGGGAUUCAGUGCCGCAGCUAACGCAUUAAGCACUCCGCCUGGGGAGUACGACCGCAAGGUUGAAACUCAAAGGAAUUGACGGGGGCCCGCACAAGCGGUGGAGCAUGUGGUUUAAUUCGAAGCAACGCGAAGAACCUUACCAGGUCUUGACAUCCCGAUGCUAUUUCUAGAGAUAGAAAGUUACUUCGGUACAUCGGUGACAGGUGGUGCAUGGUUGUCGUCAGCUCGUGUCGUGAGAUGUUGGGUUAAGUCCCGCAACGAGCGCAACCCCUAUUGUUAGUUGCCAUCAUUCAGUUGGGCACUCUAGCGAGACUGCCGGUAAUAAACCGGAGGAAGGUGGGGAUGACGUCAAAUCAUCAUGCCCCUUAUGACCUGGGCUACACACGUGCUACAAUGGUUGGUACAACGAGUUGCGAGUCGGUGACGGCAAGCUAAUCUCUUAAAGCCAAUCUCAGUUCGGAUUGUAGGCUGCAACUCGCCUACAAUGAAAGUCGGAAAUCGCUAGUAAUCGCGGAUCAGCACGCCGCGGUGAAAUACGUUCCCGGG